AUGCUCAGAACGUUGAACAUUAGUUAUAACAAUCUACAGGGUAACAUUCCUAGGAAGAUCUUCCACACUGGCUCCACACUGACCAUAUGUGCAUUAUCCUACAAUAAUUUACAAGGAACAAUACCUACAGAGUUCAGUAAUCUUAGGCAGCUAGUUGAGCUGCAUCUUUCAUCCAACAAACUUUCUGGGGAAAUUCCUGGUGCUUUAGGUGAGUGUCAAGAGCUGCAGAUCAUCCGAAUGGACCAGAAUAUUCUCACAGGUGAUAUUCCGGAGUCUUUGAGCAAUCUGAAGAGCUUGGUGGUGCUCAACUUUUCACAUAACAGUUUGUCCGGAUCCAUUCCAACAUCACUAAGUGACCUGAAAUAUCUGAACCAGCUAGACGUCUCUUACAACCAUAUACAUGGAGAAAUACCAAGGAAUGGAAUAUUUGAAAAUGAAACGGCUGUUUCUCUCAAUGGGAAUUGGGGACUUUGCGGUGGAGCAGUAAAUCUUCAUAUGCCCACUUGUUCUACUAUCUCCCAGAGAAAAGAAACACUGUACUACUUGGUCAGAGUAUUUAUCCCUUUGGUUGGCUUCGCCUCACUCAUAUUGUUAAUUUACUUUGUACUCCUGGAGGGCAAGACGCCAAGAAGAACAUACUUACUGUUGCUGUCUUUUGGCAAGCAUUUUCCUAGAGUUACCUACGGGGAUCUAGCUCAAGCUACACAGAGCUUUUCUGAGUCAAACCUGGUUGGAAGAGGAAGCUAUGGUUCAGUAUAUAGAGGAAAGCUAACUCAAGCAAAAAUACAAGUGGCUAUUAAAGUUUUUGACCUCGAUGUGAGAUACGCAGACGAUAGAUGA
RNAcentral lists this ribosomal RNA (840 nucleotides) under Triticum aestivum (bread wheat). RNAcentral's name for it is "partial small subunit ribosomal RNA". The record is from RNAcentral. Lineage: Eukaryota; Viridiplantae; Streptophyta; Magnoliopsida; Poales; Poaceae.